AGAACGAACGCUGGCGGCAGGCUUAACACAUGCAAGUCGAACGCUCCGCAAGGAGAGUGGCAGACGGGUGAGUAACGCGUGGGUAUCUACCCAUCUCUACGGAAUAGCUCCGGGAAACUGGAAUUAAUACCGUAUACGUCCUUAGGGAGAAAGAUUUAUCGGAGAUGGAUGAGCCCGCGUUGGAUUAGCUAGUUGGUGGGGUAAAGGCCUACCAAGGCGACGAUCCAUAGCUGGUCUGAGAGGAUGACCAGCCACAUUGGGACUGAGACACGGCCCAAACUCCUACGGGAGGCAGCAGUGGGGAAUAUUGGACAAUGGGCGAAAGCCUGAUGCAGCAACGCCGCGUGCGGGAAGAGGCCCUAGGGUUGUAACCGCUUUCAGCAGGGAAGAAGAUGACGGUACCUGUAGAAGAAGGUGCGGCCAACUACGUGCCAGCAGCCGC
RNAcentral lists this ribosomal RNA (442 nucleotides) under uncultured bacterium. RNAcentral's name for it is "SSU rRNA". It matches the Rfam family "Bacterial small subunit ribosomal RNA", at positions 26 to 518 of the family's 1533-position model. The record is from RNAcentral.